CCUCAAUCAGCCACUGCUUAAAUAGGAGGCUCAGACAUCCAGUCCCCGCCGGAUCGUUGAAUUUCCAUGCACAACCUUCACCGCCUCAGCAAAUCCCCAGCCUGAAAACGCUUGGAUCCGCCCGCAGCCUGGACACCUCCCCGCUCCCAGUCCGCCAGCAGCACCCUUGGAAUUCCCCCCUACCCGGGAUCUGGAAGGGAGCCUCUGCCUCGAACCCCUGACUUCCCCAGCUCAUUCCCUUUUGAAUAAACUCUUCUCUUCCUGAAAAUCUGACAAAUGCUGAGCCCAAUAAAGUUUCCCCAAGGGGACAAUAAAGUAUAUUUUAUCUUUGGA
Long non-coding RNA from Micropterus dolomieu (smallmouth bass), 333 nucleotides. RefSeq lists it as uncharacterized. The record is from RefSeq and is a predicted model, not a curated record. The transcript is spliced from 2 exons. NCBI's taxonomy places the organism in Eukaryota, Metazoa, Chordata, Actinopteri, Centrarchiformes, Centrarchidae.